Molecule: ribosomal RNA, 247 nt
Filed under: uncultured bacterium
Lineage: Bacteria
Description: partial 16S ribosomal RNA
Rfam family: Bacterial small subunit ribosomal RNA
Source: RNAcentral
GAUCAUGGUCAGAUUGAACGCUGGCGGCAGGCCUAACACAUGCAAGUCGAACGGUAACAGGAAACAGCUUGCUGUUUCGCUGACGAGUGGCGGACGGGUGAGUAAUGUCUGGGAAACUGCCUGAUGGAGGGGGAUAACUACUGGAAACGGUAGCUAAUACCGCAUAACGUCGCAAGACCAAAGAGGGGGACCUUAGGGCCUCUUGCCAUCGGAUGUGCCCAGAUGGGAUUAGCUAGUAGGUAGGGGG